UUGAAUAUAAAAUAAAACAAUCCUAUUGGUUGGUGAACCUAGAGGUUCACCCUAGGGGGUGGACCUAAGAAUAAGUCUUUGUAAAGAGUCAUUCUUGAGUCAUUCUUGGGUUCACCCCCUAGGGUGAACCUCUAGGUUCACCAACCAAUAGGAUUUCAUUAUUUCAAAUUUGAUAUCUUUUAAAAAAGGAAACAAAAUAUUCUCAAAUUAUAUUAUGUUUUCAAAAUAAAAAAAGUAAAAAAAGAUAAUAGUUACAGAAAAAAAAAUUAAAAAAAAAUAUAUUUUUAAUGUUCUCAACAAAACACUAAACCCUAAAUCUUAAUCCCUAAACCCUAAAUCCUAAACCCUAAACCCUUGGGUAAACCCUAAACCCUUGGGUAAACCCUAAACCCUUGGAUAAAUCCUAAACUCUAAAUAAAAAACACUAAAACUCUAAAAUCCUAAAACCCUAAACCCUAUACGCUUGAAUGUUUUAGUGUAUAGUGAUUUUGAUUUAGAGUUUAGGAUUUAUCCUAGAGUUUAGGAUUUAUCCUAGAGUUUAGGGUUUAGGAUUAAGAGUUUAGGGAUUAGAAUUUAGGGUUUAGGGUUUAAUGUUAUGCUGACGACGUAAAAUAUUUUUUUUGUAAUUAUUACUAUUUUUUUAUCUUUUAAUUUUAAAAACAUAAUAUAAUUUGACAAUAUUUUGUUUCCUUUUUUAAAAGAUAUUGAAUAUAAAAUAAAACAAUCCUAUUGGUUGGUGAACCUAGAGGUUCACCCUAGGGGGUGGACCUAAGAAUAAGUCUUUGUAAAGAGUCAUUCUUGGGUUCACCAACCAAUAAGAUUUCAUUAUUUCAAAUUUGAUAUCUUUUAAAAAAGGAAACAAAAUAUUCUCAAAUUAUAUUAUGUUUUCAAAAUAAAAAAUGUAAAAAAAGAUAAUAGUUACAGAAAAAAAAAUUAAAAAAAAAUAUAUUUUUAAUGUUCUCAACAAAACACUAAACCCUAAAUCUUAAUCCCUAAACCCUAAAUCCUAAACCCUAAACCCUUGGGUAAACCCUAAACCCUUAGGUAAACCCUAAACCCUUGGAUAAAUCCUAAACUCUAAAUAAAAAACACUAAAACUCUAAAAUCCUAAAACCCUAAA
RNAcentral lists this long non-coding RNA (1120 nucleotides) under Brassica rapa (field mustard). RNAcentral describes it as "long non-coding RNA (BRAP_LNC006757)". The record is from RNAcentral. Lineage: Eukaryota; Viridiplantae; Streptophyta; Magnoliopsida; Brassicales; Brassicaceae.